GUACCUACGGGAGGCAGCAGUAGGGAAUCUUCCACAAUGGACGAAAGUCUGAUGGAGCAACGCCGCGUGAGUGAAGAAGGGUUUCGGCUCGUAAAGCUCUGUUGGUAGUGAAGAAAGAUAGAGGUAGUAACUGGCCUUUAUUUGACGGUAAUUAAUUAGAAAGUCACGGCUGACUACGUGCCAGCAGCCGCGGUAAUACGUAGGUGGCAAGCGUUGUCCGGAUUUAUUGGGCGUAAAGCGAGGGCAGGCGGUU
Molecule: ribosomal RNA, 253 nt
Filed under: uncultured bacterium
Lineage: Bacteria
Description: partial 16S ribosomal RNA
Rfam family: Bacterial small subunit ribosomal RNA
Source: RNAcentral